This 519-nucleotide ribosomal RNA is filed under the name Triticum aestivum (bread wheat). RNAcentral's name for it is "partial small subunit ribosomal RNA". Lineage: Eukaryota; Viridiplantae; Streptophyta; Magnoliopsida; Poales; Poaceae. The record is from RNAcentral.
GUUGUGGAUGAACGAACGAAGCUUCUAGUUCAUGCAGCAUCAUUGAUAGUUGUGAUUUAGGCCUGGAUCUUGUUGGUCCAUAAGAGAGUUGUUCGUCAGAAUGAAAGACCACGCAUCUGGUAUGGUCCGAUGUUAAUCCGAGAUCAGGAGAGGAUGGCGAAUCUGAACUACAUCUACAACUGCAAUGGCACAGAAGCUAUGUGAAUGCUUCGAAUGAAAAGACCUUUUGCAAGGCUGGUGAGGACGUUUAGGAGCAGGGGGCUGCUGGAAGAUAGCAUCCACACCACUGUGGAAAAGCAAGUGGCCAUGUUCCUCCAUGUUAUUGGUCAUAAUCGGAGGUUUAUCGUUGUACACAACACCUUCCGGAGAUCAAUGGAGACCAUCUCCAGGUACUUCAAGCAAGUGUUGUAUGCUGUUGGGGAGCUUAGAGGAGAGAUGAUCAUGUCACCAACCGGUCGGACUCCUACCAAGAUUCGCACUAGCCCAAGAUGGUAUCCAUACUUCAAGGAGAGCACUUGA